AGCUUGCUCUCGGGUGACGAGCGGCGGACGGGUGAGUAAUGUCUGGGAAACUGCCUGAUGGAGGGGGAUAACUACUGGAAACGGUAGCUAAUACCGCAUAACGUCGCAAGACCAAAGUGGGGGACCUUCGGGCCUCAUGCCAUCAGAUGUGCCCAGAUGGGAUUAGCUAGUAGGUGGGGUAACGGCUCACCUAGGCGACGAUCCCUAGCUGGUCUGAGAGGAUGACCAGCCACACUGGAACUGAGACACGGUCCAGACUCCUACGGGAGGCAGCAGUGGGGAAUAUUGCACAAUGGGCGCAAGCCUGAUGCAGCCAUGCCGCGUGUGUGAAGAAGGCCUUCGGGUUGUAAAGCACUUUCAGCGGGGAGGAAGGCGAUAAGGUUAAUAACCUUGUCGAUUGACGUUACCCGCAGAAGAAGCACCGGCUAACUCCGUGCCAGCAGCCGCGGUAAUACGGAGGGUGCAAGCGUUAAUCGGAAUUACUGGGCGUAAAGCGCACGCAGGCGGUCUGUCAAGUCGGAUGUGAAAUCCCCGGGCUCAACCUGGGAACUGCAUUCGAAACUGGCAGGCUAGAGUCUUGUAGAGGGGGGUAGAAUUCCAGGUGUAGCGGUGAAAUGCGUAGAGAUCUGGAGGAAUACCGGUGGCGAAGGCGGCCCCCUGGACAAAGACUGACGC
Molecule: ribosomal RNA, 675 nt
Filed under: Klebsiella sp. HGA0164
Lineage: Bacteria; Pseudomonadati; Pseudomonadota; Gammaproteobacteria; Enterobacterales; Enterobacteriaceae
Description: bacterial SSU rRNA
Rfam family: Bacterial small subunit ribosomal RNA
Source: RNAcentral